AGCCCUAAGGAUUUAUUUAGGGUAAUACCUGCCCAAUGAGAAAUUUAAUGGCCGCGGUACUUUGACCGUGCUAAGGUAGCAUAAUCAAUUGACUUUUAAAUGAAGUCUGGAAUGAAAGGGGGAACGGAAUUUAGCUGUCUUAAUUUCUUUAAUUUGAAUUUACUAACUAAGUGAAAAGGCUUAGGUGAGAUAAAAGACGAGAAGACCCUAAGAGUUUUUAAUUUAUUUUUGUUGGGGCGACAUAGGGUCAGUAUAACACCCUAAAUUUAUAUGACGGAUUUAUCAUGUUAAGAUAAACUACCUUAGGGAUAACAGCAUAAUCCUUUUGGGUUUGUGACCUCGAUGUUGGACUAGGAAGCCCUUAGGCUAGCUGCCUAAUGGGGGGAUUCUGUUCGAAUUUUUACUCCU
This 408-nucleotide ribosomal RNA is filed under the name Haloa cf. nigropunctata NHMUK 20070590. RNAcentral describes it as "partial 16S large subunit ribosomal RNA". It matches the Rfam family "Archaeal large subunit ribosomal RNA", at positions 1921 to 2665 of the family's 2987-position model. Lineage: Eukaryota; Metazoa; Mollusca; Gastropoda; Cephalaspidea; Haminoeidae. The record is from RNAcentral.